AUUGAACGCUGGCGGCAGGCUUAACACAUGCAAGUCGAACGAUGAAGAUAUAGCUUGCUAUAUCGGAUUAGUGGCGGACGGGUGAGUAACACUUAGGAAUCUACCUUUUAGCGGGGGAUAGCUCGGGGAAACUCGAAUUAAUACCGCAUAAUUUCUACGGAAUAAAGAGGGCUUUUAGCUCUCACUAGAAGAUGAGCCUAAGUAAGAUUAGCUAGUUGGUGGGGUAAAAGCCUACCAAGGCGACGAUCUUUAGCUGGUCUGAGAGGAUGAUCAGCCACACUGGGACUGAGACACGGCCCAGACUCCUACGGGAGGCAGCAGUGGGGAAUAUUGGACAAUGGGGGCAACCCUGAUCCAGCCAUGCCGCGUGUGUGAAGAAGGCCUUUUGGUUGUAAAGCACUUUAAGCAGUGAAGAAGACCUAUUGGUUAAUACCCAAUAGCGAUGACAUUAACUGCAGAAUAAGCACCGGCUAACUCUGUGCCAGCAGCCGCGGUAAUACAGAGGGUGCAAGCGUUAAUCGGAAUUACUGGGCGUAAAGCGAGCGUAGGUGGUUAAAUAAGUCAGAUGUGAAAGCCCUGGGCUCAACCUAGGAACGGCAUCUGAAACUAUUUAACUAGAGUAGGUGAGAGGGAAGUAGAAUUUCAGGUGUAGCGGUGAAAUGCGUAGAGAUCUGAAGGAAUACCGAUGGCGAAGGCAGCUUCCUGGCGUCAUACUGACACUGAGGCUCGAAAGCGUGGGUAGCAAACAGG
Molecule: ribosomal RNA, 750 nt
Filed under: uncultured bacterium
Lineage: Bacteria
Description: bacterial SSU rRNA
Rfam family: Bacterial small subunit ribosomal RNA
Source: RNAcentral